UACUUUCGGGGCAGGGUGUAAUUCCCGACCGGCGGUGAAGAAAUAUUUUCUGAGCCCGCGAGCCUUGAAUCUGCAAUUUGGGUUCUUGGUUGAUUUGGUGAAAUUCCAAAGCCGACAGUAUAGUCUGGAUGGGAGAAGGUG
RNAcentral lists this non-coding RNA (141 nucleotides) under Bacillus testis. Its description in RNAcentral is "FMN riboswitch (RFN element)". It matches the Rfam family "FMN riboswitch aptamer (RFN element)". Rfam says of the family: The RFN element is a highly conserved domain that is found frequently in the 5'-untranslated regions of prokaryotic mRNAs that encode for flavin mononucleotide (FMN) biosynthesis and transport proteins. Lineage: Bacteria; Bacillati; Bacillota; Bacilli; Caryophanales; Bacillaceae. The record is from RNAcentral.